Molecule: ribosomal RNA, 534 nt
Filed under: uncultured bacterium
Lineage: Bacteria
Description: bacterial SSU rRNA
Rfam family: Bacterial small subunit ribosomal RNA
Source: RNAcentral
AGUAAAUAGAUACCCUGGUAGUCCACGCCGUAAACGAUGUCGACUUGGAGGUUGUGCCCUUGAGGCGUGGCUUCCGGAGCUAAACGCGUUAAGUCGACCGCCUGGGGAGUACGGCCGCAAGGUUAAAACUCAAAUGAAUUGACGGGGGCCCGCACAAGCGGUGGAGCAUGUGGUUUAAUUCGAUGCAACGCGAAGAACCUUACCUACUCUUGACAUCCAGAGAACUUAGCGGAGAUGCUUUGGUGCCUUCGGGAACUCUGAGACAGGUGCUGCAUGGCUGUCGUCAGCUCGUGUUGUGAAAUGUUGGGUUAAGUCCCGCAACGAGCGCAACCCUUAUCCUUUGUUGCCAGCGGUUAGGCCGGGAACUCAAAGGAGACUGCCAGUGAUAAACUGGAGGAAGGUGGGGAUGACGUCAAGUCAUCAUGGCCCUUACGAGUAGGGCUACACACGUGCUACAAUGGCGCAUACAAAGAGAAGCGACCUCGCGAGAGCAAGCGGACCUCAUAAAGUGCGUCGUAGUCCGGAUUGGAGUCU